Molecule: ribosomal RNA, 432 nt
Filed under: uncultured bacterium
Lineage: Bacteria
Description: partial 16S ribosomal RNA
Rfam family: Bacterial small subunit ribosomal RNA
Source: RNAcentral
GCGAACGCUGGCGGCAGGCCUAACACCUGCAAGUCGAACGAACUCUUCGGAGUUAGUGGCGGACGGGUGAGUCACACGUGGGAACGUGCCUUUUGGUUCGGAAUAACUCAGGGAAACUUGUGCUAAUACCGAAUGUGCCCUUCGGGGGAAAGAUUUAUCGCCAUUAGAGCGGCCCGCGUCUGAUUAGCUAGUUGGUGAGGUAACGGCUCACCAAGGCGACGAUCAGUAGCUGGUCUGAGAGGAUGACCAGCCACACUGGGACUGAGACACGGCCCAGACUCCUACGGGAGGCAGCAGUGGGGAAUCUUGCGCAAUGGGCGAAAGCCUGACGCAGCCAUGCCGCGUGAAUGAUGAAGGUCUUAGGAUUGUAAAAUUCCUUCACCGGGGACGAUAAUGACGGUACCCGGAGAAGAAGCCCCGGCUAACUUCGUG